RNAcentral lists this ribosomal RNA (456 nucleotides) under Schaalia odontolytica. RNAcentral describes it as "bacterial SSU rRNA". It matches the Rfam family "Bacterial small subunit ribosomal RNA", at positions 28 to 481 of the family's 1533-position model. The record is from RNAcentral. Lineage: Bacteria; Bacillati; Actinomycetota; Actinomycetes; Actinomycetales; Actinomycetaceae.
GACGAACGCUGGCGGCGUGCUUAACACAUGCAAGUCGAACGCUGAAGCCUAGCUUGCUGGGUGGAUGAGUGGCGAACGGGUGAGUAACACGUGAGUAACCUGCCCCCUUCUUUGGGAUAACGCCCGGAAACGGGUGCUAAUACUGGAUAUUCACUGAUCUUCGCAUGGGGGUUGGUGGAAAGGUUUUUUCUGGUGGGGGAUGGGCUCGCGGCCUAUCAGCUUGUUGGUGGGGUGAUGGCCUACCAAGGCUUUGACGGGUAGCCGGCCUGAGAGGGUGACCGGUCACAUUGGGACUGAGAUACGGCCCAGACUCCUACGGGAGGCAGCAGUGGGGAAUAUUGCACAAUGGGCGAAAGCCUGAUGCAGCGACGCCGCGUGAGGGAUGGAGGCCUUCGGGUUGUAAACCUCUUUCGCUCAUGGUCAAGCCGCAACACUGGUUGUGGUGAUGGGUAGUGG